CGCUAGGUCCGCAGGGCGCUGACCCCUGGGGGCCCGAGGAGCGCCGGGCUGCUGCCCCGAGCCCCGCCCACUACAGCCUCAGUGCAUGGCGGUGGGCGCUUCCAGUAACUCAGGGGUGGGACUUUUUUCUUGCUCAGGGGAUGAGGCCGAGCCCACAGGCUUAGAAAGAAGGAACUUGAGUCCGGGCACCUGUCAUCCCAGCGCUUAGGGAGGCCGAGGCGGGUGGAUCACCUGAGGUCAGGAGUUCGAGACCAGCCUGGCCAAUAUGGCGAAACCCCCGUCUCUACUAAAAAUACAAAAAUUAGCCGAGCAUGGUGGCAUGCACUUCCAGCUACUUGGAAGGCUGAGGCGGGAGAAUGGCUUGAACCUGGGAGGCGAGGGUUGCAGUGAGCUGAGAUCGCACCACUGCACUCCAGCCUGGGUGACAGAGCGAGACUUCGUCUCAAAAAAAAAGAAGAAGAAAGAAGGAAGCUGAGGUUCAGACAGGCUAAGUCCCUACUGCAGGCUGCGGAAUCUAAAAAGGUCAUGAACUCUGAGAGUUUGAGAUGAGCCUCUAAAAGCUGUAUCAAUAGCACCUUGCACUGUUGAAGCAGUGUAAAUAUGGAAUACAAUUCUAUUGUGAUGAUACAGCAAAAAAAGUGUUAGAAAGAAGAGUCACUUUCUUUGCCAUGAACUCUGAGAAUUUGGGCUGCAUU
This 695-nucleotide long non-coding RNA is filed under the name Homo sapiens (human). Its description in RNAcentral is "HSALNT0262790". The record is from RNAcentral. Lineage: Eukaryota; Metazoa; Chordata; Mammalia; Primates; Hominidae.